GGCCCUUUAGCUCAGUGGUUAGAGCUAGCGGCUCAUAACCGCUUGGUCGUCGGUUCAAAUCCGGCAAGGGCCACCA
RNAcentral lists this transfer RNA (76 nucleotides) under Escherichia coli. Its description in RNAcentral is "tRNA-Ile". It matches the Rfam family "tRNA". From Rfam's summary of the family: Transfer RNA (tRNA) molecules are approximately 80 nucleotides in length. Their secondary structure includes four short double-helical elements and three loops (D, anti-codon, and T loops). The record is from RNAcentral. Lineage: Bacteria; Pseudomonadati; Pseudomonadota; Gammaproteobacteria; Enterobacterales; Enterobacteriaceae.